RNAcentral lists this long non-coding RNA (919 nucleotides) under Equus asinus (donkey). RNAcentral's name for it is "lncRNA (ENSEASG00005032000.1)". The record is from RNAcentral. Lineage: Eukaryota; Metazoa; Chordata; Mammalia; Perissodactyla; Equidae.
GGUCCUGCCUCUCCAGCCUCCUCUGCUCUGUGACAGUGGCUCAGUCUCUCCUCGUCUCCCAUGACCGUGACAGUCUUGAGCAGAGCUGGCCACGGAUUUUGUAGACUGGUCCUCAGUCUGGAUUUGGUGAUGAUUUCCUCGUGACCGAACUGGGGUUAUGGGUUUUGGGGAAGAGGACAGAGGCGGAGUGCCCCUCUCGUCACAUCACAUUAGGCGCACGUGACAUCCGCAUAAUGUGUCACCAGUGAUGCUAACAACGUUGACUGCUUGGUGAAGAGUCUGCACAGAGCGGGAACUCAGCGCCCGGCACUGGAGGAGUGGAUUAGAAGGCCGCUCUCCACAUUGACCUGCAGAGUGACCUCUCUGACCCCUAGGAUCCAACCUUACCACAGCAGGCAGAAAGCCUUUUACUGGCUCCCAGUGUCCCGGAUGAAGCCCACACGCCGUAAAUGAUGAUGAAGAUGAAGGUGGUAGCUACCACAUACCUCUCUCACAACCCCCACAACAGUCCUGCAAGGCAGGCGAGGAUCAUUGUCCUCAUUUGUCAAAUGAAAAUCUGAUGGCUCAGAGAGGUUCAGUGACUUACCCGAGGUUACUCAGCCAGCGAGCUGCAGACACAGGCACCAAGCCCAGGGCUGUGGGCUGAUUGUUUGACGGGCAUUCGAGGCCUGUCAGCCUCCCUCGCCAGAGAAGUUGCCAGGCUUGUCCAGGUGCCCAGGCAUCAGCCUCGUCUGACUCAGCAAGGAGCAAGUCGGAGGCGGCUGCUUGCCCGUCAGACUGCUGUUUUCUGCCUGAGAAGCAUCACUUGCCUCUUUCUCUUCUGCUCCUCAAGGAUCAUUCUGCAUCUGGGGGGAGUCAUUUUCCACAGAGUCAAGAGUUCUGAAAACUCGCUUUAUUGUUGUACACUGAAAACGGAUAC